This 1369-nucleotide long non-coding RNA is filed under the name Scophthalmus maximus (turbot). RNAcentral describes it as "lncRNA (ENSSMAG00000021452.1)". The record is from RNAcentral. Lineage: Eukaryota; Metazoa; Chordata; Actinopteri; Pleuronectiformes; Scophthalmidae.
AGCCGAAAUGCCGAGAAACAAAGUUGAAAUAGUAUUUUGUCGAAAAUAAUUGUGACCCGGAAGCACUUUUCAGCAGCACCAAACGACCGGAUGUUGAUGUUUUGCGAGCCAAGUUUGCUAAGCUAACGCUAGCCGCUAACCGAGUCGUAAAGUUGCGAUAUUAUUAUUAUCGACAGGCUGAACCUGGAAGAAACGACGCGGUGACAACGGGUGUUUGCACAUGAACGUCGACGUGUGUCCCGACACGAUAACGUUCAACUGCACACGACCGUGGAUUGGUUUUUAAGAGGCGUGCAGUCACCGGAGCUAGCGUAGCUUUGCUAACAAAAAAGGACAAAACCCUGAAACCGUGCUCCGUCUGUGACCUUCCAGACUGUAAAGCUUGUAUCACAACGGAAAGGAGGGAGGAGGCAUCCAGCAGGUAUCCGCUCUCCACUGUAAUACUUUCCCAUCCGUCCAUAACCUCUGGGCAUACUUCAAUAAAGAAAUAUGAAGAACAUAAAUGCGCUUUUGUGAAAAUGUGUUUUUGCAGCCAUAUGGCUCGGCUCCCAUCAGAUGAAGAGAAAGCAGGGAGAGAAGUUUUCGGAGAUCUUCAAGUCAGCUAGAGGAAAAGAAAGAAAUGUCGCUUCAGACAUCCGGCUGAUCAGCUGAAGACGGACUCGGCCACUGACGCAUGUCAGCAUUAUUCUAUUCCUGUGACAAGCUGAGGUGGGGAGAGUACUUUUGGAAUCACUUUGAAGUCGUUCAGUCGAGUCAGACAGUUUCCUUUAUGUAGAGAACUGUUGAAGCAGUAAAACUUUUUCCUUCUGCAAAGCUUUUAGUCUUGCCAAUUACCAAUCAAGCAAGAAAAUAUUCAAUGUCAUAUGACCUAUGCAUUAACAAAAAUGUAUAUAAAGCCACCCAAUUAUUACCCAAUUUCCCCCGUGGAUCAAAAAAGUAUUUCUGCUUCUGAUCAUUUCUGUUUGACAAACAGUCACUGCAAGACAGCAGCUCUGCUUUAAAAAACACAAACCGUCCUGCGUGUUGUUUGAUUGAGUUUCUAAUUAGGAGCCUUUCCAUGCUGACAGAUGUACUGUGAAAGAACUUGUAAGGCAGCAUCAAUUUAAUUGGAAUUUUAGAAAAACAACAUCAUAUUUUUUUUAAGAACUUUCAUCAAGAAAAGAGUUUGAUAGAAACUUGUCCUUCUAAUUAAGAAAGUAAGAAAAACUUUAAAUGCCACCAAUUGGAAGCGAUAGCAGGGUCUCCGUGAUUGUGGAGAUCCAUCGGAUUUUAAUUUGGGUAAUAACUUGAGAAGGUUUAACAUGCUCUAAUGUUCAGUAAACACACCUGUUUCCUGCAGCUCCUCUUUUCAGCCUCUCUCUGAAACACU